RNAcentral lists this ribosomal RNA (292 nucleotides) under uncultured bacterium. RNAcentral's name for it is "partial 16S ribosomal RNA". It matches the Rfam family "Archaeal small subunit ribosomal RNA", at positions 455 to 747 of the family's 1478-position model. The record is from RNAcentral.
GUGCCAGCCGCGCGGUAAUACCGGCAGCCCGAGUGAUGGCCGAUCUUAUUGGGCCUAAAGCGUCCGUAGCUGGCCGCGCAAGUCCAUCGGGAAAUCCACCUGCUCAACAGGUGGGCGCCCGGUGGAAACUGUGCGGCUUGGAACCGGAAGGCUCAGAGAGUACGUCCGGGGUAGGAGUGAAAUCCCGUAAUCCCGGACGGACUACCGAUGGCGAAAGCACUCUGAGAAGACGGCUUCGACAGUGAGGGACGAAAGCUCGGGUCUCAAACCGGAUUAGAUACCCCAGUAGUCC